AUAACUACAGCUACUUCAAAAAUAUGUAGUCAGCUACAACUACUGCUACUUUUGAACAAAGGUAGUUCGCUACUGACUACAGCUACUGCUUAAAAAAUGUAGCGAACUAUUUCGCUAUUUCGCUACGCUAUCUUUUUUAGUUUUACUGUUUUUGGAGCAUCUACUAACUCAGGCUGAAAUGUAACCUAUAACAAAUCGACUUACGAGUAGCAACAGUAAACACAAAGCAACAUGUUUGUAAGCACUACAGUGUUCAAGAGUGCAAAUUGAGUAUUGAGUAUUGACUUUAAGCAAACCGUGUCUCAAUAUCAUGCUAUUCUAUCAAGGUGCU
Molecule: long non-coding RNA, 331 nt
Filed under: Paramuricea clavata
Lineage: Eukaryota; Metazoa; Cnidaria; Anthozoa; Malacalcyonacea; Plexauridae
Source: RNAcentral